UACGUAGGGCGCAAGCGUUAUCCGGAAUUAUUGGGCGUAAAGAGCUCGUAGGCGGUUUGUCGCGUCUGCUGUGAAAGACCGGGGCUCAACUCCGGUUCUGCAGUGGGUACGGGCAGACUAGAGUGAUGUAGGGGAGACUGGAAUUCCUGGUGUAGCGGUGAAAUGCGCAGAUAUCAGGAGGAACACCGAUGGCGAAGGCAGGUCUCUGGGCAUUAACUGACGCUGAGGAGCGAAAGCAUGGGGAGCGAACAGG
RNAcentral lists this ribosomal RNA (253 nucleotides) under uncultured bacterium. RNAcentral's name for it is "partial 16S ribosomal RNA". It matches the Rfam family "Bacterial small subunit ribosomal RNA", at positions 524 to 776 of the family's 1533-position model. The record is from RNAcentral.